This is a non-coding RNA of Fukomys damarensis (Damara mole-rat), 159 nucleotides long. The record is from Rfam. Lineage: Eukaryota; Metazoa; Chordata; Mammalia; Rodentia; Bathyergidae.
GGCUUUGCACAGUGGCAGUGUUGUAGCCAAUGAAGUUUAUCCAAGGUGCGAGUAUUGCUAAUUGAAAAGAACAGGUGAGCCAGGUAACGAAUAAGACUCCAGGGUUAGGGGACUAAGGAUAUUUAUGAGUUAGCCAGCCUGUAGUGAAUAUCUUAGUAU